This 181-nucleotide ribosomal RNA is filed under the name uncultured bacterium. RNAcentral describes it as "partial 16S ribosomal RNA". It matches the Rfam family "Bacterial small subunit ribosomal RNA", at positions 1319 to 1500 of the family's 1533-position model. The record is from RNAcentral.
CACGAAGUUGGAAUUGCUAGUAAUCGUGGAUCAGCAUGCCACGGUGAAUACGUUCCCGGGUCUUGUACACACCGCCCGUCACACCAUGGAGUCGGUAACACCCGAAGUCAGUAGUCUAACCGCAAGGAGGACGCUGCCGAAGGUGGGAUUGACGACUGGGGUGAAGUCGUAACAAGGUAGC